UACGAGGGGGGCAAGCGUUGUUCGGAAUUAUUGGGCGUAAAGGGCGCGUAGGCGGUUUGACAAGUCUGAUGUGAAAUCUCUGGGCUCAACCCAGAGUCUGCAUUAGAAACUGUCGGGCUUGAGUAUGGGAGAGGUGAGUGGAAUUUCCGGUGUAGCGGUGAAAUGCGUAGAUAUAGGAAGGAACACCAGUGGCGAAGGCGACCACCUGGACUGAUACUGACACUGAGGUGCGAAAGCGUGGGGAGCAAACAGG
Molecule: ribosomal RNA, 253 nt
Filed under: uncultured bacterium
Lineage: Bacteria
Description: partial 16S ribosomal RNA
Rfam family: Bacterial small subunit ribosomal RNA
Source: RNAcentral